Lolium perenne is the source of this 985-nucleotide non-coding RNA. NCBI's taxonomy places the organism in Eukaryota, Viridiplantae, Streptophyta, Magnoliopsida, Poales, Poaceae. The record is from RefSeq and is a predicted model, not a curated record.
CAACCUCCUCCGGCCCGUACCUCUUCGUUGGACUUCUUCUUUUUCCCCACGUAAAGGAACCAGAGGGAGAGCACGAGAGGAGCGUGCUCUGCUCCUCCUCCAUCGAUAGCGACCGCACCCUCCUCCCCUGCGUGAAGCCUCCACUCCUCUGCUUUAUCUCUUCUGGACCACGUCCAUCUCUUUUCUCCUCAUCCUCACGCCUCUCUCGCCUCCCUUCUUUCUUCUACUGCAAGACAAAACCGAGAGAGGGGAAAACACCUGCCACCAUCCUCUUCACCAUGGCGCCGCCGCUCCACUUCGUCCCCCGUCGUUCUGAGGGCACCGGCGGAUGCGCCUCGUCGUCCUCUCCAUCCUCCCCAAACGAAUCGAGCCGGGACUCUCCAAUUCAACGACAAAUUCGCCGAUACCCAACUCUGACCACCGGAGAAAAUGGUCGAUUCCGGCCGCUGGAGGCCUCCCCCGUCCUCUCCGACCUCAUCCACGGCUCUCUGGUGAUGUGCUCGUUCCUCCAGACCUCUUCCCCGUCUCGUUCUCGUCCUCGUUUUUUUCUACCGACGUUGACCACCGGUAAUCUCCGCAGGAGCUCGACGCCGGCGGUACUCCGGCGACCCCCUGGACGCCUCACCACCACCAUCCGGUUCCCCACGUUCUGCCGCACCCCCGACGCGAACUCUCCCGCCUUGGUUCGCCCUGAGUCGCCAGGUCCAUCCUCGCCAGAUCUUGUCCGCCAUGGACGCUCAGUCCCCGAGCUCCGCCACCUCUGGCUCAAGUUGCAACAGGCCUUUCUUUUGCCACGAACUGAUACAUAGCCCAGUGAUCCAGCGGCUACUGGGCCUCAUCCCGUGUCGUCGCCAGCUUGUUCGCCGCCGAGCGUGCGGCAGGCCGCUAUCCGCUGCUCAGCUUUUGCUUCUUCUCGGAUAGGAUCACGAAGUGGUGAUGUGAGAUACGACGAGUUCUCCGACAAGUUCUUCUGCAGCUUUUCACA